GUCUACAGCCAUGCCACCCUGAACACGCCCGAUCCCAUCUGAUCUUAGAAGCUAAGCAGGGUUGGGCCUGAUUAGUACUUGGAUGGGAGACCACCUAGGAAGACCAGGUGCUGUAGGUA
This 119-nucleotide ribosomal RNA is filed under the name Pteropus alecto (black flying fox). Lineage: Eukaryota; Metazoa; Chordata; Mammalia; Chiroptera; Pteropodidae. The record is from RNAcentral.